CGGGGGUCGGUCUUUUAUGUGUAAGUUCAGGGUGCCCUGUUGUAGAACAGGAUAGGAAAGGUUUCAGGCUUACCCCUUUUCUACAGGCUGUAAAUCAGUGCCCAUUUAAAGAAUUUAUCCAGGAAUAGAAAACCAGAGACAAGAUCCAUUCAAACCUCCUGAGACAGCAGAGGGAAAAAAAAAGUGCCAGGGGCCUGCUGAGACAAUACCACACUGAAAAUAUGAGGACUACACAACUUCCUUCCAAAGGUACUGCCGAGAUUUUAGAGGUAUGUCAGCCGGCAAUGGAGGUGGUCAGUCUGUGUUCCAGAAGUGACGACAUCUUGCAGCUAUUGGACAUGAUGAUGUGUAAAGAGAAGAAGGCAUCGGGGUG
Long non-coding RNA from Hyla sarda, 373 nucleotides. RefSeq lists it as uncharacterized. Lineage: Eukaryota; Metazoa; Chordata; Amphibia; Anura; Hylidae. The record is from RefSeq and is a predicted model, not a curated record. The transcript is spliced from 3 exons.